GAGACACUCCUAUGGAGCAAAACUUGCUUCAGUAGGGCUAUGGUGCUCACUGAGUCUGCCCCUUAAGUGAGUCACU
Myotis davidii is the source of this 76-nucleotide non-coding RNA. NCBI's taxonomy places the organism in Eukaryota, Metazoa, Chordata, Mammalia, Chiroptera, Vespertilionidae. The record is from Rfam.